RNAcentral lists this ribosomal RNA (253 nucleotides) under uncultured bacterium. RNAcentral describes it as "partial 16S ribosomal RNA". It matches the Rfam family "Bacterial small subunit ribosomal RNA", at positions 524 to 776 of the family's 1533-position model. The record is from RNAcentral.
UACGUAGGGCGCAAGCGUUGUCCGGAAUUAUUGGGCAUAAAGAGCUCGUAGGCGGCCAGUUGCGUCCGCUGUGAAAUCCCAGGGCUUAACCCUGGGCGUGCAGUGGAUACGGGCUGGCUGGAGGCAGGCAGGGGAGAACGGAAUUCCCGGUGUAGCGGUGAAAUGCGCAGAUAUCAGGAGGAACACCGAUGGCGAAGGCAGGUCUCUGGGCAUUAACUGACGCUGAGGAGCGAAAGCAUGGGGAGCGAACAGG